UUUCAGUCAAUGUUGUGUUUCUUUCAAUUUGAAAUAUCUGGAUUUAAUUAAUACAGCUCAGUCAGUUCCAUUUAAUAUUAUUAAGAAUUCUUAUUCAGUUUAACACUAGAUGACGUAUCAGUUCAUGGAGUUUUUCAGAGCCAGUUUUUUCUUUUCAAUUAUCUGAAUUUGAAGUGAGAUUAUUAAAAUAUAAUUGCAAUGAAUCAGCAGCAACAUAAGAAACGACCAAAUAUACAAAGGAAGUGCAGCUAUUUAAAUAUAAAAAAUGAUCUAUCAGUCAGAACAUGGUGAAAGUGCAGCUGAAGUUAAGUUAGUGAAGCUACGGAUAAGCAACGUUUCCUUUCACUUUCAGAAAAAUAAAAACCUCAUAUUUGCGAUUUAUUAAAAAAUCACUAAAAGCAACACUUCCACCAAGUUUGUUUUAGUUUGUUGGUAUUUAUCGGUGGAGCAGCAGCACAUUUUCCACAGACAGUUUUACUGUCCGUUGUCUUGUUUUAAUCAGUUUUCAGUUCAGUAAUUCAGUCCUUCGGCUGAUUGGACCAACAGACACUGAAGGACUCCGACAGCUGGUCGGUAAUAAAUGAUAAUUUACUGAUCGGUGCCGGUUUUAAUGAACUUUAUGUUCAACUUCAGAGUCGGAUAUAAUGUGAGCAGUGAAUCCCAGGAGUUGGUGGAGUUUAUUUGUGUGUGUUGACCAGAGAAGAGAGUUAGCAUCCAGUGAAUAUUAGCUUUAAUGUGAAUUAGCGAUGCUAACCGAGCUAGCUGAGCAGUCCUGAUUAGCAGCUAAAUGUAGCAUCAAGCUAACGAUGUUUGUGUUGUUUCCUGUCAGCAGCUGAAGUGUGUUGUGUUCCUGUAAUGUGGUUCAUUAAGUUCAUAAAACUGUGGCUGGUUGACGUUAAUUCAACGUUCAGGAAACUUAAAUGUGAUUAAAACAGUAACGUUAAUGUUCUAGUUGUCAGUAAUCAGCUUUAAUUUGACACUAAAACAGACUGAUAGUUUUAAAUGAAAUCAGUUUCAUGAAUUUGUUGACAAUUGUCUCAUUUGUUGUUUUGAUGUUGCUGCUGAUUCAUUAAAACCAGAUGAUCCAUGUUGAAGAUACGUUUAGUUCUAGUAUCAGAAGCACAAGAAGGAAAAUGGAAGUUUAGUUCUGCUACAUCAAAAAAUUCAGGAAUAAAAUAACUAAAUGAGUCUUUAUGCCUCAAACUUUAUUUUAUAAUAAUGAAAUAAUGAAAUAAUCACAGAUAAUAAAAAUAUAAAUAGCAGAGAAAACCUGAGAGAAUAAUUUCCUGAAAAGUCUGUGAAGGAAAAGCAGCUUUUUAUCCUGAAAGAUCAGAAUCAGCUCCAACAUCUGCAUCUGACAGCAUCAAGUCAACCAGAAAGAAAAGAAAAAAGAAAAUGACUUCUUUCUGAUCACACCUGUUCCGCUGCUCACAGGCUGCUGCUGCUCACAUUCUUCACAUUUAUAGUCCACUUUUAAAAGUUCAGCAGACAGGUGCUCUGCUUUGGAGUGUGACGAUGUCGUCGGUGAUGUGGAGAGUUAAGUUUUCGUUUCACCCACAGCAUGCUUUAGGGCAGCCGGGUCAGACUUGAUGUUUGAAAUACUGACCGACAGCUCAGAUUUAACUGUCUGUAGUUCCGUUUUGAUGGAUGUUAAACUUUCAUUCAAAGCCGCCAAGAGCUGGGUCUUUAAAAUAACUGCCGUCUCGUUACAGAGUGAAAGUAGCAGUUCCUCCUUAAAGUCAGAGAUUGCAGCAUCUGAGGGCCUCUUCAAAAGAAGAUGUAGUUGAUGAAGGCGUUCUGGAGCAGGACCAGAAAGACCACGACCAAGCAGCCUUGAGAUCUUAGGCAGCGUCUCCCUCAGACCAAAGAACUACAGACUCUUCACAACCUGCUCAAACUCUUGGUACAGGACCUCACCACACGGGUCAAGAAGGUUUCCUUCUCCUCAUUUCUACUCUGAAGAUCACCUUCUCCUGCUCAAACUGCUGACAAAUGUUUCUGCUGCUCUAAAGUCUGGUCUCCAGAACUUCCUAAAAACUCUCAAAGUCUCUUCUGCUGCAGGUUGCUAUGUAGAACUGUUCCAGAAAACCUCACUAAACCACAUGGAGGGGCCUCAAGAUAGUCGUCCAAAUGAAACCAUACAAAAACCAAACCAGCACAACCCAAACGCUAAAGUCUCCUGCAGCCUACCAGAGAACCUCUGAGAACAGAGAAUCAGGACAGGAACUCUUACCUUCUGGACAACCAACGUUGGUUUAUAAACAAGAAUACAGAAUGUGUCUGACCAAAAACCUCUAAAGACUCACUACAGCCAAGAUAAAGACACAACUCAGCUGCACCAAAUCCACUAAUCACUGCACACAUUAGCACCAUGUGCCAACUGUGGCUAAAGAACCACAUUUACCAAGACAACUAUCCAGUACAAAGCCCUAAAACACACCAAGAAACACAUUAAAGACGAUUUUACUGCUGGAAGCUGCAAGCCAAUGCCUAAAGAACAAACUAAAGCAAUGGAGCCAAACCCGGUUAGUGGUGAAGAGAAACAGAGGAAAUGAUUGUCUGCAGCUAAAUAAAGCAGGAAGACACCGAGCUGCUCAGGUGUUCCUGAUAACACCAAGCAGCCACCUGGACAGCCAAUAGGAACACAGCUUCUUGGAAGUCCAGAGGGCUGGGCUAGUGAAGGAAAUUUAGUUGAAGCAGAAAGUAAACAAAGUUGAAAACCACCUUCUGAUCCCUGAAAUCUCUGACACUCCAGAAAGGUUUUCUUUGAAAAAAAAAAUUAUCAUGAAUUUUGGCGCAAAAAAACGCCUUACUAUACGAUGUCGAAAAAAAAAUGCCAUUUUUCAAACAUGUUGCAAAAACGUGCCAUAUGAUGAAAUAAUGUAAAGGAGGCCGUGAAGAACACUCCAGAAAAGUUUUCUUUGGAAAAAAAAAAAUCAUGAAUUUUGGAACCAAAAAACACCUUACUAUACUAUGUCGAAAGAAAAUGCGAUUUUUCAAACAUGUUGUAAAAACGUGCCAUAUGAUGAAAUAAUGUAAAGGAGGCCAUGAAAAACACUCCAGAAAGGUUUUCUUUGAAAAAAAAAAAUCAUCAUGAAUUUUGGUGCAAAAAAAAGCCUUACUAUACUAUGUCGAAAAAAAAAUGCCAUUUUUCAAACAUGUUGUAAAAACGUGCCAUAUGAUGAAAUAAUGUAAAGGAGGCCGUGAAAAACACUCCAGAAAGGUUUUCUUUGAAAAAAAAAAUCAUCAUGAAUUUUGGUGCAAAAAAAACACCUUACUAUACUAUGUCGAAAAAAAAUGCCAUUUUUCAAACAUGUUGUAAAAACGUGCCAUAUGAUGAAAUAAUGUAAAGGAGGCCGUGAAAAACACUCCAGAAAGGUUUUCUUUUAAAAAAAAAUCAGCAUGAAUUUUGGCACGAAAAAAUGCCUUACUAUACUAUGUCGAAAAAAAAUGCCAUUUUUCAAACAUGUUGUAAAAACGUGCCAUAUGAUGAAAUAAUGUAAAGCAGGGCGUGAAAAACACUCCAGAAAGGUUUUCUUUGAAAAAAAAAAUCAUGAAUUUUGGCGCAAAAAAAAACGCCUUACUAUACUAUGUCGAAAAAAAAUGCCAUUUUUCAAACAUGUUGUAAAAACGUGCCAUAUGAUGAAAUAAUGUAAAGGAGGCCGUGAAAAACACUCAAGAAAGGUUUUCUUUGAAAAAAAAAUCAUCAUGAAUUUUGGCGCAAAAAAAAAACGCCUUACUAUACUAUGUCGAAAAAAAAUGCCAUUUUUCAAACAUGUUGUAAAAACGUGCCAUAUGAUGAAAUAAUGUAAAGGAGGCCGUGAAAAACACUCCAGAAAGGUUUUCUUUGAAAAAAGAAUCAACAUGAAUUUUGGCGCAAAAAAAACGCCUUACUAUACUAUGUCGAAAAAAAAUGCCAUUUUUCAAACAUGUUGUAAAAACGUGCCAUAUGAUGAAAUAAUGUAAAGCAGGGCGUGAAAAACA
Molecule: long non-coding RNA, 3984 nt
Organism: Amphiprion ocellaris (clown anemonefish)
Lineage: Eukaryota; Metazoa; Chordata; Actinopteri; Pomacentridae
Exons: 2
Source: RefSeq, a predicted model, not a curated record